AACGAGCGCAACCCCUGUCCUUUGUUGCCAUCACGUAAUGGUGGGAACUCUAGGGAGACUGCCGGUGAUAAACCGGAGGAAGGUGGGGAUGACGUCAAGUCAUCAUGGCCCUUACGGCCAGGGCUACACACGUGCUACAAUGGCGCGUACAGAGGGCUGCAAGCUAGCGAUAGGGAGCGAAUCCCAAAAAGCGCGUCCUAUUCCGGAUCGAAGUCUGCAACUCGACUCCGUGAAGUCGGAAUCCCUAGUAAUCGCAAAUCACAAUGUUGCGGUGAAUACGUUCCCGGGCCUUGUAAACCCCGCCCGUAA
This 309-nucleotide ribosomal RNA is filed under the name uncultured bacterium. RNAcentral's name for it is "bacterial SSU rRNA". It matches the Rfam family "Bacterial small subunit ribosomal RNA", at positions 1091 to 1399 of the family's 1533-position model. The record is from RNAcentral.